This 492-nucleotide ribosomal RNA is filed under the name uncultured bacterium. RNAcentral's name for it is "partial 16S ribosomal RNA". It matches the Rfam family "Bacterial small subunit ribosomal RNA", at positions 29 to 507 of the family's 1533-position model. The record is from RNAcentral.
AGUGAGCGCUGGCGGUAGGCCUAACACAUGCAAGUCGAACGGCAGCACAGUAAGAGCUUGCUCUUACGGGUGGCGAGUGGCGGACGGGUGAGGAAUACAUCGGAAUCUACUUUUUCGUGGGGGAUAACGUAGGGAAACUUACGCUAAUACCGCAUACGACCUACGGGUGAAAGCAGGGGAUCUUCGGACCUUGCGCGAUUGAAUGAGCCGAUGUCGGAUUAGCUAGUUGGCGGGGUAAAGGCCCACCAAGGCGACGAUCCGUAGCUGGUCUGAGAGGAUGAUCAGCCAAACUGGAACUGAGACACGGUCCAGACUCCUACGGGAGGCAGCAGUGGGGAAUAUUGGACAAUGGGCGCAAGCCUGAUCCAGCCAUACCGCGUGGGUGAAGAAGGCCUUCGGGUUGUAAAGCCCUUUUGUUGGGAAAGAAAAGCAGCAGGUUAAUACCCCGCUGUUCUGACGGUACCCAAAGAAUAAGCACCGGCUAACUUCGUG